RNAcentral lists this ribosomal RNA (383 nucleotides) under uncultured eukaryote. RNAcentral's name for it is "partial 18S ribosomal RNA". It matches the Rfam family "Eukaryotic small subunit ribosomal RNA", at positions 592 to 976 of the family's 1831-position model. The record is from RNAcentral.
CAAUAGCGUAUAUUAAAGUUGUUGCAGUUAAAAAGCUCGUAGUUGGAUUUCUGGUGGGAGCGAUCGGUCUGGCGCUUAGCGCGAGUACUUGCAUCGUCUCCGGCCAUCCUUGGGGAGAGUCUGUCUGGCAUUAGGUUGUCGGGCAGAGGAUCCUCAUCGUUUACUGUGAAAAAAUUAGAGUGUUCAAAGCAGGCUUAUGCCGUUGAAUAUAUUAGCAUGGAAUAAUAAGAUAGGACUUUGGUACUAUUUUGUUGGUUUGCGCACCAAAGUAAUGAUUAAUAGGGACAGUUUGGGGUAUUCGUAUUCCGUUGUCAGAGGUGAAAUUCUUGGAUUUACGGAAGACGAACUACUGCGAAAGCAUUUACCAAGGAUGUUUUCAUUAA